AUGAAGUGGAAUGGGGCAUUAAUAUACAAAGAGCAAGGGGGAAAGAGCUUGUCACUUUGGAUUAACAAUUGCACAAGUCUCCAUGCUGAGCCAAGCACUGAAGAAAUAUUAAAUGGCUCAAGGACUCCUGAAGGUACAGGCAUUACCCAGGCAUUUGGGAAAAUGGAAAGUGGAAGUAAAAUUGAUUUAGUUAAAUUUUAUUUUCUGCUUUUCUAAAAAAAAAUGAUGGUUGAGGAAUGAAGGAAGGGAAAAAAUGGAGGUAUUAGAUUAACACCAAGUAUGUAAUAUAAGAAUUAGAUUAAUAAAAUCCUGACUUGUUCAAAAAAAAGAAAACA
RNAcentral lists this long non-coding RNA (335 nucleotides) under Monodelphis domestica (gray short-tailed opossum). Its description in RNAcentral is "lncRNA (ENSMODG00000046845.1)". The record is from RNAcentral. Lineage: Eukaryota; Metazoa; Chordata; Mammalia; Didelphimorphia; Didelphidae.